Molecule: ribosomal RNA, 253 nt
Filed under: uncultured bacterium
Lineage: Bacteria
Description: partial 16S ribosomal RNA
Rfam family: Bacterial small subunit ribosomal RNA
Source: RNAcentral
UACGUAGGGUGCAAGCGUUACUCGGAAUUACUGGGCGUAAAGCGUGCGCAGGCGGUUUUGUGAGUCUGUCGUGAAAUCCCCGGGCUCAACCUGGGAAUUGCGAUGGAGACUGCAAGGCUAGAAUCUGGCAGAGGGGGGUAGAAUUCCACGUGUAGCAGUGAAAUGCGUAGAGAUGUGGAGGAACACCGAUGGCGAAGGCAGCCCCCUGGGUCAAGAUUGACGCUCAUGCACGAAAGCGUGGGGAGCAAACAGG